This 495-nucleotide ribosomal RNA is filed under the name uncultured bacterium. RNAcentral describes it as "partial 16S ribosomal RNA". It matches the Rfam family "Bacterial small subunit ribosomal RNA", at positions 28 to 507 of the family's 1533-position model. The record is from RNAcentral.
GACGAACGCUGGCGGCGUGCCUAAUACAUGCAAGUAGAACGCUGAAGGAGGAGCUUGCUUCUCUGGAUGAGUUGCGAACGGGUGAGUAACGCGUAGGUAACCUGCCUGGUAGCGGGUGAUAACUAUUGGAAACGAUAGCUAAUACCGCAUAAUAGCAGUUAUUGCAUGAUAACUGUUUGAAAGGUGCAAUUGCACCACUACCAGAUGGACCUGCGUUGUAUUAGCUAGUUGGUGGGGUAACGGCUCACCAAGGCGACGAUACAUAGCCGACCUGAGAGGGUGAUCGGCCACACUGGGACUGAGACACGGCCCAGACUCCUACGGGAGGCAGCAGUAGGGAAUCUUCGGCAAUGGACGGAAGUCUGACCGAGCAACGCCGCGUGAGUGAAGAAGGUUUUCGGAUCGUAAAGCUCUGUUGUAAGAGAAGAACGAGUGUGAGAGUGGAAAGUUCACACUGUGACGGUAUCUUACCAGAAAGGGACGGCUAACUACGUG